This is an RNA transcript of Cornus florida, 3474 nucleotides long. It is a transcript of the gene named cation/H(+) antiporter 4-like, with no coding region annotated. The record is from RefSeq and is a predicted model, not a curated record. The transcript has 4 exons. NCBI's taxonomy places the organism in Eukaryota, Viridiplantae, Streptophyta, Magnoliopsida, Cornales, Cornaceae.
UACGACUCAUGAAUACAAAUUGUCACCCCUAAUUAUGUCAUUAGCCCAUUGAUUGAAGUUUUAUAUGCCGAGUAUUAUUUUUUGACCAAAUUAAUUUCUCUUUUAUAUUUGUUUGUUGCCUCUCUGUUUUUUUUUUUUUUUUUUUUUUUUUCAGUUAAGAAAACUUGCAAUCAAAAUAGAUGUGACACGGUAAGAGUUUGAAUCAUCAAAAUUAUACACGUGUCAAAUUUGGGCACAAACUCGCAACCUCUGUGAUGAUUCUUUUUUCCAAUAUUUAUGAGUACCAUGGUUGGCAUGCCUGAUUGACCGGGACUAAACAAAGACUUACCUCCAAAGAGCCAAUUGCUAAAUUCUAUUUGGCGGGAUAAGUCUCUUAACAUUUUACUUUUUGUGGCAUCCCUUUUUCAAGUCACUUUUUGGUCCGUCCACCCAUUUCAUUCAUCUCUCCGAACAAAUUGGUUGCUGGAUAGUUGGGUCCUGGAUCUUGUCUUGCUUACCUACAUUCCAUUCUCCACGGUUUCUUCUUCUUCUUCUUCUUCUUCUUCUAUUUUUUUAAUUUUAUUUUUGGGAUUGUGUAUUUUUUUAUUUGUAUUUUUUUAAAGUUAGUAUUAAAUCAAGAUAAAAUCUUGGUGGUGUGAAUUGGUGUCUCUGGUUAGAUAUAUGAAGGUAUAGUGAUGGAUGAUGAGGAUGGUUUCUGUGGGGUCGAUCCUAUACCCAUUCAAUCACAGGGCAUAUGGUCAAAAAGUAAUGCCAAAGGCUUUCUAUAUCAUGAUUUGGUGCGACUUCAAAUACAACUAGCUCUAAUGUUCACCUUUUCUCAAUCUGUACAUAAAUUGCUCAAGCACUGCCAUUUUGCCCGCCUCGUCUCUGAGACCUUGGCUGGUAUAGUACUAGGACCAACUGUUUUAGGUUUGGUCCUCCCAAGUGUUGAAGAGAUAUUGUUCCCUGAAGAAGGAUGUAUUUUUGUUGAAAUGUUAACGAAACUCGGGUACAUGUUCUUUAUGUUCCUGAUGGGAGUGAAGAUGGAUCCAAGCAUGGUUUUGAAAGUUGGGAUAAAGGCCUGGGCUAUAGCCACUUUUUCGAUUGUAGUCCCCCUAGGAUACGCCACGUUUGUCUCUCAAACAUUGCUUCCGGGCAAGGUACGUAACAAGAGCAAGCACCCAACCACUAGAUUUGUGAUAGUAACAGAAACCAUAAGCUCAUUUCCUGUCAUUGCCUGCCUCCUCAUUGACCUCAAAAUCGUGAACUCUGAGCUGGGGCGUAUUGCUUUGGCAUCAGCAUUGAUUAGAGAUAUACUGAACACAACUUUCGUAUUUCUUACAAACUACCUUUAUUGGAUUGCCUCGGUAGCAAAUUGGCUUGUGGCUUGGCUAACACUGUUUUUCUCUCUCGCUUUUAUUUCCACCAUUGUGUUCGGCCUUUAUCCAUUGUUUUUGUGGAUUAUCAGACAGACUCCAGAAGCGAAACCGGUGAAGUCAGUGUACAUCAGUCUCAUUUGCUUUGCGGUUCUUGGCUCGGCCAUUGCCAGUGACAAUUUGGGAAUGAUGUACCCGUUUGGUCCUUUUGUACUCGGCUUGACUGUGCCGGCAGGGCCACCUUUAGGAUCAACACUGGAGAAAAGGUUGGGUACAUUCACAAUGGGGUUGCUUACCCCGUUACUACUAACCUACAUCGGAAUGAAAAUAAACUUGACUGAAAUGCAUAGUAUGAGAUCCAUUGUUGCAAUACUGCUAGCCUACGUCAUUGGUUUCACAAUAAAAGUCAUAGCAGUUUUUCUUCCAGCAUUGUUAUGCAAAAUGUCUGUCAAAGAUGCUAUCGCUCUAGCCCUCAUCAUGAGUACCCAAGGCAUCGUGGAGUUGGCUGGAUAUGUCACUUUUGUGCAAACCGAGACAUUAAGUGAAGAAACCUAUGCCUUGGUGGCCUUGUCUGUAUUAUUAACAGCAGUGGUCGUACCCUUUCUUGUGAGAUCUGUCUACGACUAUUCAAGGACAUAUAUUGGCUACCAGAAAAGGAACAUUUUACACUCCACAGACAACGAAGAGCUCCGAAUAGUUGCCUGCGCCCAUAAACAGGACGAUGCCAUGGGCAUCAUAAAGGUUCUAGAAGCUUCUAAUCCUACCAAACAUAGUCCCAUUGCAGUAUUUGCUCUCCACCUGGUGGAGCUUCUUGGCGGAACCUCCCCGGUCUUGAUUAACCACCAGUUACGCCAAAAGACUACUUCUUUAUCGAGCUCUCGUUCCCAAACUAUUAUUGACAUCUUCAAUAAGUACGAGCAGCACAACUCGGGUUUGGUCAAUUUGCAAGCCUUCACUGCAAUCUCAAUGCCCAAGUUCAUGCAUGAUGACAUUUGCUUGCUCGCCUUCGACAAGUUGGCUUCCUUGAUAAUACUUCCAUUCCAUAAGAAAUGGAGUUCCCAAGGGAGAGUGAUUUUUAACAACAACGUCUUGAAGAACAUAAACAGUAAAGUAAUGGACAUGGCCCCUUGCUCGGUGGGCGUCCUUGUAGACAGGGGCAAAGUAAACCGUGCAGCAACAAAAUCAUUGUCUUCAAUGUAUCGCGUGGCUAUGAUCUUCCUGGGAGGUGAUGAUGAUCGCGAGGCACUAGCUUACGCCAAACGCAUGGCGAACUCCCCAUGGGUUCACUUGACAAUUUUCCGGAUAUCCCAGUUGGAGAACAACACUCGUGAGGCAAAUUGGGAAUCCAUUCUUGACACAGAGACUUUGAAGGACGCAAGACACAAGUGUUCAACCAAUGGUAACGUAGUGUACAGGGAGGAAAAGGUGAAAGAUGGACCAGAAACGGCUUUUUUGCUUCAUUCAGUUGGGGAAGAUUAUGACCUUAUCAUGGUGGGGCGUCGCCACAAAUCGCACACGAAUCUACUGUCAGGCCUAAUAGAAUGGGCUGAGUUGCCAGAGCUAGGGGAAAUCGGAGAUCUACUCGCUUCCUCAGAAAUUCGUAGACCAGUUUCAGUCUUGGUGGUGCAACAACAGCUCAUGCAAAAGAAGUCGAAGUAGUCAUUCCCUCCUUGGAACUUGGAAGUGCUAGUUUAGAUGCUAAAAUCUAAAGGAUCCACUGCAACAAAAAGCUUUGACAGUCUUGAGGCAAUGUAAUCACGAAACCGAAGGGACAACUGGAUCAAGCUCGCCAUGUAUCAGAGAUGAACAUCCCAACUUGUGGAUUCAAAGACAGCGACUUAUUUUAGUAGCUGGCAUCCAUUGUUAUACACUGCAAAAUGGCUGCGUGGCUAAGCAAACGAAGAACAGAGAAAGAAAGAGAAGAGUGAUUACAUCCUUUCACAAUUUUGAUUCGAAAAUUGUCUUGUCUUUUAUUUUCUGUAAUUGCAUUGAGAAGUAUAAACGACCACCCAUUUUUCCAAUGGAGUAAUUAUUGCGAAAUGUAUCAGCUAUGUACUGUGCAUGUGAAUCAACACUGCGAAAAAAGAUAUUCUAAUCUCAUUUCGUCGUCGUCAUCAUC